CAGAAUGGCUGAACAGGAGAAGACUGGACUUUGAAGCCACAUACCUGGUUCAAAGCUAGAAUGUUCACUUUUACUAGCUGAAGGAGCAGCAGCGGCUUCCCCUUCUCCUACACCGGGCUACUGUCACCUCCUCUACCAAGGGCGUGGUGAAACCCAGGUGACCUGGCAUGGGGAGACAUACUGCCUGGUUGGUGGCUACCGGUCUUAUGGGGAUGCACCUGUGGCCACCCCAGAAAAGGUGGAAGCAGAGAAGCCAGUCCCCAGGCGGGCUCCCAAGAGACAUGCAACUUCAGCGUCAGACCAAGAGCUAGGCUGCCCCCCGCCCAAACUUCGGCGGCUGCAACAUCGUGGCAAGAGGCUGACCCCACAGAAGCUUGCUGGCCAUGCCACUUGUGUAAGGAGGGCACGGGUUUAAGUGCCUAAAAUAGCUAACGCCUCUCCCUGCACUGACCCAGCCCUGCCAUUGCCCACCACAGGAGACUGGAACCGGAGCUGCCCUGAAUGAGCCUUCCUCAAGAGACCCAGAAGAGCUGCUCCCAGAGAAGGAACAAAAUGGAAAGAGUUGAGCAGCACCUCCAACGGAGGCCCACAGGCUUCUUUAUUCCCAGCCCUUCCUGACCCCAGUAUGGCCUCGUAGCGUAAAUAAAAUGGUUUUCUGUUA
Molecule: long non-coding RNA, 661 nt
Organism: Manis pentadactyla (Chinese pangolin)
Lineage: Eukaryota; Metazoa; Chordata; Mammalia; Pholidota; Manidae
Exons: 2
Source: RefSeq, a predicted model, not a curated record